Molecule: ribosomal RNA, 474 nt
Filed under: uncultured bacterium
Lineage: Bacteria
Description: partial 16S ribosomal RNA
Rfam family: Bacterial small subunit ribosomal RNA
Source: RNAcentral
GGAAUCUUCCACAAUGGACGCAAGUCUGAUGGAGCAACGCCGCGUGAGUGAAGAAGGCUUUCGGGUCGUAAAACUCUGUUAUUGAAGAAGAACGUGUGUGACAGUAACUGGUCAUGCAGUGACGGUAUUCAAUCAGAAAGUCACGGCUAACUACGUGCCAGCAGCCGCGGUAAUACGUAGGUGGCAAGCGUUGUCCGGAUUUAUUGGGCGUAAAGCGAGUGCAGGCGGUCUUUUAAGUCUGAUGUGAAAGCCUUCGGCUUAACCGAAGAAGGGCAUCGGAAACUGGGAGACUUGAGUGCAGAAGAGGAGAGUGGAACUCCAUGUGUAGCGGUGAAAUGCGUAGAUAUAUGGAAGAACACCAGUGGCGAAGGCGGCUCUCUGGUCUGUAACUGACGCUGAGGCUCGAAAGCGUGGGUAGCAAACAGGAUUAGAUACCCUGGUAGUCCACGCCGUAAACGAUGAUUACUCGUUUUU